Molecule: ribosomal RNA, 253 nt
Filed under: uncultured bacterium
Lineage: Bacteria
Description: partial 16S ribosomal RNA
Rfam family: Bacterial small subunit ribosomal RNA
Source: RNAcentral
UACGGGGGGGGCAAGCGUUGUUCGGAAUUACUGGGCGUAAAGGGCGCGUAGGCGGCCGAUCAAGUCAGAUGUGAAAGUCCUGGGCUUAACCUGGGGACUGCAUUUGAUACUGAUUGGCUUGAAUGCAGGAGAGGAUAGCGGAAUUCCCAGUGUAGAGGUGAAAUUCGUAGAUAUUGGGAAGAACACCGGUGGCGAAGGCGGCUAUCUGGACUGUGAUUGACGCUGAGGCGCGAAAGCGUGGGGAGCAAACAGG